CUCCUCUUAGGGUCACACCUGGAGACUUUCCAGGACUCUACCAGUCACGACUAGAGGAGGGAGAGUCAUGCAGAGGCCCGUCCGUUCCUUUCCUAGCUUGGGCAGUGGCUAGAGAGUGGAAGGCAAUCUGCUACAAGA
Molecule: small nucleolar RNA, 138 nt
Organism: Ornithorhynchus anatinus (platypus)
Lineage: Eukaryota; Metazoa; Chordata; Mammalia; Monotremata; Ornithorhynchidae
Source: RefSeq, a predicted model, not a curated record